UUUAAUGUUGAAAUUGUUUAAUGUUGAAUAAAUUAGGAAUUUUGUUUAAAAAGAAUUGAUUUUAAAUUUUAAACUAUAAAGAAUAGUACUGUGAAGGAUUUUUUAAAAUUUUGAAAAUAAAAUUUUCAAAAAGUAAAUUAUUAAUUGUACCUUUUGUAUUAGGGUUUAAUAAAAAAAAUUAUUGUUAUAUUUUUCCCGAAAUAAUUUGAGCUACUAAUUUAGGGGAUUUAAAGGUUUAAAUUUAAAAUUAAUUUUUUAGUAGAAAUGAAAUUUUAUUCGAAAUUUGUGAUAUCUGGUUAAAAAGAAAAAGUUAUACACUUUUUUGUAAAGAGAAUUAAUUGAGAAGUUUUACAAUUUUUUUUUUUAGGGAUAAGCUUAGAAAUGUUAUAUAAAUUAUAUAGAAUUUUUUAAAAAGUUUAAAAUUUACUAAAAUUUUGUAAUAAAAAAAUUUUAUUAACUUUAAUUUUAUUAAAAAGAUUGUUUUUAUUAAUGUUUUUGAAAAGGAAUAAUGUUAAAAUUAGUAUAAAGAUUUUUAAAGUUUUUUAAAGUUUUUAAAUUAAAUUUAAAAUUGAAAGGGUUUUUAGUAAAUUAUGAAUUCGGCAAAAAAAAUUUCUGAAUGUUUAUCAAAAACAUUGCACUUUGAAAUUAUGAAGUGUAAAGUCUGCUCAAUGUAAAAUAAAUUGCUGUGGUAUUAUGACUAUACGAAGGUAUUGAAAUAAGGUUUUAAUUGAGCGCUAAGAGAAUGGCUUAACAGGGAUUGACUUUAUUGUUUAUUAAUUUAAAAGUUAAUUUAAAAAUGAAAAAGUUUUUAUAAAAUUUUGGGACAAGAAGACCCUAUGAAUUUUUUAAAAAUUUACUUUUUAAAAAUUUUUUAAGAAAAGAAAAUGUAAAUUUUGUUAAUUGGGGCGAUUUUUAAAGAAUGUUUAUCUUUAAAAUUAUUUUAAAAAUGAUCCAGUAAUAUUGAUUAUUUAAAAUAAAUACUCUAGGGAUAACAGCGUAAUUAUUUUGGAUAGUUCAUAUAGAUAAAAUAGUUUGCGACCUCGAUGUUGGAUUAGGAUUCUAAAAAAAUGUAGAAGUUUUUUUUAGAAGUUUGCUCAACUUUUUAAUUCCUACAUGAUCUGAGUUCAGACCGGCGUGAGCCAGGUUGGUUUCUAUCUAGAUUUUGUUAAUUAGAUUAUAGUACGAAAGGAAUUAAUUUGAAAAAUUAUUUUUAAAAUUAUUUAUUGUUAAAUUAUAAUAA
RNAcentral lists this ribosomal RNA (1240 nucleotides) under Otobius megnini. RNAcentral describes it as "16S ribosomal RNA". The stretch from base 988 to 1146 matches the Rfam family "Archaeal large subunit ribosomal RNA", at positions 2544 to 2703 of the family's 2987-position model. Lineage: Eukaryota; Metazoa; Arthropoda; Arachnida; Ixodida; Argasidae. The record is from RNAcentral.